Haplochromis burtoni (Burton's mouthbrooder) is the source of this 619-nucleotide long non-coding RNA. RefSeq lists it as uncharacterized. The transcript is spliced from 3 exons. NCBI's taxonomy places the organism in Eukaryota, Metazoa, Chordata, Actinopteri, Cichliformes, Cichlidae. The record is from RefSeq and is a predicted model, not a curated record.
GCAUCAGCUCCUCAGCUGCAGGCAAUUAUUCUGGCAGUAUUUAGGAGCAGCGCACACAAUGAGUCUUUGCCAGAUCAUCUCCUAACCUCAGUUAGUUCACAGCCUCAUGUUCCUGUGUAUUUAUCAGUUUUAUCAUUACUUAGUCUGGACUCCGUACCUGGACUCGUCAUUCCAAACCCUGCCGUAGCCUUGCUUCUGGAUUCAGCUGCUGCUUAAUCUUUUUCAGACAAACUGCCAUUCUCACCUGCCUGCCUCCCUGCACACCUAUAUUGGACUCAGCACUCGUCUGGACCUCGCCUCGCCUCCACCUCCAGCUAAACCCCGCCUGCAAACACUGCCCUGGUCUGCCAGUUUCCACCAGCCCCACUCCAGUCUCAGCAGUUUUUUGUUUUCGCAAAUCACUUGGAGCUUCCGGUCUUUGGUUCUACGCCCGAGUCCAUUCCACGCCACGGGCCUCUGAGCCCUGACAACGGUCUAAACAUCUGGAAAGUCCUGGAGGAAGAGAAUGGCUGGACUCAUCUGGAUUCUGCUUUCUGCGUGCCUGCUGGGUUGUACCUCUCAAGUUUCUCUUUCAGACCAGAAAAAGUCACAGCUGAUCUGGACAGGACGUCACUCUGAC